Molecule: ribosomal RNA, 253 nt
Filed under: uncultured bacterium
Lineage: Bacteria
Description: partial 16S ribosomal RNA
Rfam family: Bacterial small subunit ribosomal RNA
Source: RNAcentral
UACAGAGGGGGCAAGCGUUAUUCGGAAUUAUUGGGCGUAAAGGGCGCGUAGGCGGCUUGGCAAGUGGAAGGUGAAAUCCCUCGGCUUAACCGAGGAACUGCCCUCCAAACUGCUUCGCUUGAGACCGGGAGAGGUGAGUGGAAUUCCCAGUGUAGCGGUGAAAUGCGUAGAUAUUGGGAGGAACACCAGUGGCGAAGGCGGCUCACUGGACCGGUACUGACGCUGAUGAGCGAAAGCGUGGGGAGCAAACGGG